RNAcentral lists this ribosomal RNA (722 nucleotides) under Candidatus Karelsulcia muelleri. RNAcentral describes it as "bacterial SSU rRNA". It matches the Rfam family "Bacterial small subunit ribosomal RNA", at positions 129 to 876 of the family's 1533-position model. The record is from RNAcentral. Lineage: Bacteria; Pseudomonadati; Bacteroidota; Flavobacteriia; Flavobacteriales.
CAUCAUGCAGAGACAUAGUCUAAGGAAACUUAGAGUAAUACCUCAUAAUACAAGUAAACUAUUAGUAAACUUGUCAAAGUUUUAACGGCAUGAAAUGGGCAUAUGACUGAUUAGCUAGUUGGAGAGGUAACUGCUCACCAAGGCAAUGAUCAGUAGGGGGCCUGAGAGGGCGUACCCCCACAUUGGUACUGAGACAAGGACCAAACUUCUACGGGAGGCAGCAGUGAGGAAUAUUGGUCAAUGGAGGAAACUCUGAACCAGUUACGCCGCGUGCAGGAUGAAGGCCAGAAAGGUUGUAAACUGCUUUUGUAUAUGAAUAAAAAAUUUGAAGGUAAUAUACGAAUAAGUAUCGGCUAACUUCGUGCCAGCAGCAGCGGUAAAACGAAGGAUACAAGCGUUAUCCGGAAUUAUUGGGUUUAAAGGGUGCGUAGGUUGUUUUUUAAGUCAGUAGUGAAAGCUAACAGCUUAACUGUCAAACUGCUAUUGAUACUGUCAAACUAGAGUUAGAUAGGAGUAACUGGAAUGUGUGGUGUAGCGGUGAAAUGCAUAGAUAUCACACAGAACACCGAUAGCGAAAGCAGGUUACUAUAUCUAAACUGACACUGAGGCACGAAGGCGUGGGUAGCAAACAGGAUUAGAUACCCUGGUAGUCCACGCAGUAAACGAUGAUCACUAACUGUUGGAUUCAGUGGUUAAGCGAAAGUGAUAAGUGAUCCACCUGA